This 978-nucleotide ribosomal RNA is filed under the name Triticum aestivum (bread wheat). Its description in RNAcentral is "partial small subunit ribosomal RNA". The record is from RNAcentral. Lineage: Eukaryota; Viridiplantae; Streptophyta; Magnoliopsida; Poales; Poaceae.
AUGGACUUCCAAAACAAAAAGAUCGAGAGCAGGAAGAGAGAAAAGGACAGAGAUUCCCCUCCUGAAAGCCAAGCUAAAAGGGGCCACAUGUCCCCACCUCCAGGUCAAGGCAGGCCCUCUAUACCAAUCCAUAAGAUAUCCCACUACCUUUUGUUUUUCCAGUAUAAAUCUGCGCCCAGGCGUCAGACAUCUUCACCCCCAACUCGGCGGCAGGCAAGAUCUAACGCACUAUCCAUUUCCUUUCCUCCUCUCAAGGCUGUUGUUCUCCAUGAUGAAAGCCUCAUUUCUUUACUGGAUGUAAAGUAUGUCUCAGAGAUUAAGAUAUGGAUCUUAACUGAUGAGUUCAUGAAUGACCAUGAUGUAACAUGCGCAUUUGCUUGCAUUCAUGCAGUGAUUGUUUCCAAGAUGGCCAGUGAUGAGGAUUCACUAGAUGAUCAAAACCCUAGAUCUUGGACCGUUAGCAACACUAGUGUUAUUAACAAGACAGAAGAAGCAUCCAGCAUGUUCUCGGUCCAGGAUCAUCACCCACAAAGAGAAGUAGUGAACUUCUUAAAGGAUGACAAUACCACCAAAACGAUCCAUGAGCAAUGGCAAGCAAAAGAUAAGUUAAAUCAUUUUCUGGCCACUCCUCAUGCCAGAAUUAAUGUUCUUGACCUUGUAAGGCCUUUUCUUGACCUUGCGAUAAUUGAAAAUCUAAACCAUUGGAUGAGGAAUGGACGGCUGGAUGAUCUUCUUCCUCUAACCGUUUCCUCCUCACCCCUGAAUCCAGUGGUGCACAUGCGCGAGCCCUUCUCUGACGCCGGUCAGAACAUCCCCGUCUCCGGUGAGAUCCUGACACGGCCUCUCAAGGGUGGACGCUCCUUGCAGCCGCUCUCAUCCAACUCCGUGGAGUGCACGGAGCGACCCUUCGGCCACUCCGAGAAAGCAGGCUGCGGCCCGCUCCGCGCCGGAACGGAGCACUGCCGAACAGGGCGUUAA